Pocillopora damicornis (cauliflower coral) is the source of this 1939-nucleotide long non-coding RNA. The record is from RefSeq and is a predicted model, not a curated record. NCBI's taxonomy places the organism in Eukaryota, Metazoa, Cnidaria, Anthozoa, Scleractinia, Pocilloporidae.
UUUCUCUGGAAUCAAUACUUAUGUAGUCAUAUUGAUCUGUUACAAAUAAAGAAGUUAGAACAUAACAGAAUAAGUACACAAUUUCUCUUAUUACACUAAUGAAACAUGUAAUUUACACAGAGACAGUCUAACCUCAAUUGGGUGCUUCACAUUUCUAUCUUUUUUCCUGUUUAUUGCUUUGUCAAAUAUAUGUUCUUUAAUUUGAAAUGUUCCACAAACCAAGCUCUAAACUGUGAAUAUAGUUUGCAUUUGUUUUGGCCCAAAAUUUUUUGUCUUGACUUGCUGAAGUGGAGUUGACUCAAUUGAAUCACUAGAUGUAUAUCUGUUACCAAGUUCAAUACCACAGUGAAAUUUGAUUACUUAUUAGGGACUCAAAAAUUUCCCAAGUCCAAACAAACUUCCACUCAUGUGGACUUAAAGAGCCAUAAAACUCCCCUUUUAAAAUUAUUUUUGAACAGGUAAGUCAUUGGGGGUGGGUGGAUCUUUUAUUAUAACCUAGUUUUAUAUCAAAUUUACUGAACUUUUUUAUGUGAGCCAUCUUUUCCAGACAAAAAAUAACUUCAAUUGUGCCAGAAAGAUUACAAUAAUUGGAGAAGUGCGUCUGCAGUACCCAUAUCUGCAUCAUCAGGAAUAGUGACAAAAUCAAGCUUCAGUCUAGGAUUACAGACAAUUGGUAGAAGCUGGUGAAAUCUUGUCAAGGCUGAGUCUAACACUACAAUGAUUAUCUCUGCAAAAGAAACCACAAGAGCAUCUGCAUCUUGAUUCUAGCUGAUACAACUGUUCCACUUUAAAAUCUAUUACAUUUUCAAAUUACACAAAACUAGAGAACAAUAUAUUUGUAUGAUUUAUGAGCAGUAAGUUCAUAUGAUUACAGUGGAAGCUCAAUCUAGAACAGCCACCUCUCCAAAACAGUUGCCUCCCUUAUGACCACUGUUUUCCCUUUUCUGACAGGCAAGCAUUACUUUUGCUCUUAUUUAAGUCUCUCCACAAUGAUCACCUUUCUACUAGGGCAACAAUGACUUAAGUGCCUCCUAACACAGAAGACAAGGCAAGAUCAGAGUUAAACUCAAGUGAACAAAUAUGAUUUUAUCAAGUGAAGGAAACAAUAGGUCAAGGGAGGGGUAAGGAUUAUAAGCUGAGAUAGUUGCCAGGCAGUGCCAUCAUAGUUGGUUUUUACACAUAGCUGAGGUUAAAACUGAAAGGAUUGAUAAGUGGAAGAGGGAGGGGGCUUAAACCAGAAUAAAAAAAAACCAUGCUUUAACAUGAAAAACUGCCUGAGAAACCAGAAAGCAAAAGAACAAGAAUCCCCUGUCAACAGUAACAGCAAUGUUUUGAGAUGUUGAGCUGAAGCUCAACAGACGGAUCUUCUAUAUGGUAUAAGUACUAUGUUUCAAUAAAGCUGCUACUGGAGACAAAACCCUCAAAAAUUUCAAAGCUGAAACAAGAAGCUCAAUUAGCUCAAACAGGAAUACACUCUAUUAAACUUGAAAUUAUUUAGUACAUAUAAGGCAUCUCAUUCAAGGACUGAUUGGUGAUCUUAAUACUGCAGAAAGUCUGAUUAGAUUAAAGGUAAUCUCUGAGUUUGAAAAUCUCUUAGAUAGUGAAUCUGUAUUUACAAGUGCAAAGUUUCCACACAAGUCUGUCUUGACUUUCUCUGAUGCUUUUUCACAUAAUAACAUACCAUGAUUUUGAGUGCAAUUUGGUGUAACUAACCACAUGUAAUUGUUCAAAGACUACAAUAUACACUUGCCCACAAUUUUGUUGUCUUUGAAAAAUUUUACUUGAGCUUAUUAACACCAAAUUUCAGUCAAAAUCAUGUUAUUAUCUAUAAUCAGAGAGGAAGACUAAAGAAUUCUUAAAAAUAAAAUAGUAGCAGAGAGCUGUUGCAGGCUUUGCAGGAAACAUUGAAACCCCUGUGAAUAAAAUUAUUUCUCUUUCA